AACUCCUGUGCCAUAUUUUAGAUUACAGUUUAAGUGAUAUCAUAUGGUAUUUGUCUUUCGCUUUCUGACUUCACUUAGUAUGAGAAUUUCUAGUUGCAUCCAUGUUGCUGCAAAUGACAUUAUUUCGUUCUUUUUUAUGGCUGAGUAGUAUUCCAUUUGUAUGUAUGUGCCACAUCGUCAUGAUCCAUUCGUCUGUUGAUGGACAUUUAGGCUACUUCCAUGUUUUGGCUAUUGUGAAUAGUGCCGCAAUGAACACUGGAGUGUAUGUAUCUUUUUGAAUGAAAGUUUUGUCUGGAUAUAUGCCCAGGAGUGGGAUUGCUGGAUCAUAUAGUAGUUCUAUAUUUACUUCUCUGAGGAGCCUCCAUACUGUUUUCCAUAUUGGUGGUACCAAUUUAUAUUCUCACCAGCAGUGUAGGGAAGUUCCCUCUUUUCCAUUCCCUCUCCAGGAUUUGUUAUUUGUAGACUUAUUAAUGAUGACUAUUCUGCCCGGUGUGAGGUGGUACCUCAUUUUAGUUUUUUUUUUUCUUUUUUUUUUUCUUUUAGGACUUCACCUUCGGCAUAUGGAAGUUCCCUGGCUAGGGGUCCAAUCAGAGCUGUGGGUGCCAGCCUAUGCCAUAGCCACAGCAAUGGGGGAUCCAAGCUGUGCCUGCGAUUUACACUACACUCACGGCAAUGCCAGAUUCUUAAGACACUGAGUGAGGCCAGGGAUCGAACCCAUGUCCUCAUGGAUACUGGUUGGUUCAUUUCUGCUCAGCCCCAUGGGAACUCCCUGAGUUUUGAUUUGUAUUUCUCUAUUAGCGAGGUUGAGCAUUUUUCCAUGUGCUUAUUGGCCAUCAAUAUGUCUUUUUUGAGAAAUGUCUCUUGAGGUCUUCUGCCCAUUUUUCGACUGAGUUGUUUAUUUUUUGUCAUUGUUGAAUUGUAUGAGUUGUCUGAUAUUUUGGGGAUUAAGCCCUUGUCAGUUGCAUCAUUUGCAACUAUUUUCUCCCAUUUCCUAUAUUGUCUCUCUCCUUUUAAUUUUAACUUUCAUAUAAUUUAAGUUGUCUCUUGAAUAGCAUUUGUUGUUGGAUUUGCUGCUUCAACACAUUGGGAGAGUGUUUGCAUUUUAAUAGGGAGUUUCAUCCAUUUGCUUUUAUGUUAAUUACUGAUUUGGGUCUUCUGUGAUCACGAUUUAUGCUUUCUCACCAAUUCCUCUCAUUUCCUCAGUGGACUUGAAUUUCCUGGUUUUAAUUUUCUUAGUGAUUUAGAAAAUAUACAUCCUCUUAUAAAUUUUACAUAUGAUUCUGUUAUCAUUUUAAGGUUUUAGGAUCCAUUCAGGAGAAAGUAACCACAAGAGUAAUUUGAACAGGGAAAAUUCAGUAUGAAGAAUUAUUAACUAGUUAACAGGGGAUUGACCACUAAAGGUGCAGACAUCUCUGGAGAAUACAAGAUUAGCAGAUGUAGGGAGCGGCCACUACUUAUAGACCGAGAGUCCCCAAGAAAGGGACUUGAAAGAGCCCUCUCCCUCCUCCCCUAAGGCUGAGAUUCAGAUCUCACCGAGGACACUAUGGUGUGGCCCAUUGGAUGGGGAAGUUGGCUGAGGUGCCACAGUUUAAGGUGGCAGGCAGGGUGCCAGGGAAGCCUGCUAGGAAGUCACUUGCUGGGGUGCCAGUGACACUCGAGGAAGGCCACCUCAUGAGGUGCUAGCAGAAUUCUGGGGAGUGUGUGCCACUGGCAAGAAAGCCGAUGCUGACAGUGAUACAUGAGGGGCAAGCAGGAAAAGCAGCAGAACUGGGAGUGACACCCCUCCUACUUAUCGUGUCCCCUCCAGUGCCUUCCACUGACGGUGUCUGGUACUGUGCUCAUGGUAAAGGAGGGGUGUUUGUAGGUCACAACUCCAGUAUCACAAACUGGUGCAAAAGGGUAGAUUUGGAGCUGGCACACUGAUCACUGUUUUCCUGAAUCCCACUCAAACCUGUAUUUUUUCUUAGCAGCUACAUUAAAAAUGAAGCUGUUGUCAGAACCAGCUUGAAUUCCAUUAACAGCUCCUUUAUGUCUUUGGGGAAUCUCCAGGGGAGGUGUUUCAGUUUCACUAUUCAAACCUGUUUUAGCUCAUCUGAUUGUUGUCCCUGGUAGCUCAUCUUUUUAAGUUUAAUGCAGGAUUUUCAUCUCUGCCUGGCCCCUUGUGCUUAGGGCAUUUGCGGGAAGUGUUUCCUUGGUUCCUUCUCAUUCCUGCAGUCCUGAAUCGUUUCUUUUUGUCCUCUUUAUUCCACAUUUAUAGCCAGAAAUAAAGCCAAGGAGGGGGAGUUCAGACAGUAUUGAUUCUCUGAAAGUUUUAGUCUUAUCAGUUAGGCAUGCAUUUGUUUAGAAAAUCAAGUUCUGGAAUGAUGGUGAUGGCUGGAAUAUCUUCUAGAUUUGUGUGUUUUCUUACUGUCCACAUUAAAAAUGUAGCAACCACAACCCUCUGGACAACCUUUACAACAUAACUUGAUGACAGGCUAUCCCCACGGACUCCAAAAUAUGAAUGAGUGGGGAUAAACCGCCUUCCGGCAUACAGCAUGCGUGUGAUUGUGUCCGUGCAGGAAAAAAUAAAAGGGAGGUGAUGAGGCAUCUGACAGAUCUAAGAAUAGUAAAACCCAUAGUAGCCAACACUUAGUCUUGGAAUGAGUGGUAGACCAAGUUGGCUAAAUUUGGGAUGUGUUUUACCCACUGCAGUAGGGGGUGAGUGAAAGAGGAAGUAGAAAUUUGAAGACAAAUUAGCAAUCUCGAUGAUUGAUGUGUUAGUGUUUUUUAAGGUAGUUCUAAGUAUUUCACAAGUGUCCCAAGGCAAGAUUUUUCCCUAUGGGGGGAAAUACAACAACUUAUUAUAGAUGCGUAUUAAAAUUACCAGUUCUAACAUAUUUGUUAACGUACCAUGUAGAGUUAUGCUGUCCAGUAGGGUAGCUGCUAGCCACGUGUGACAACUGAGCACUUGAGAUGUGCCUGGUUUAAAUUGUGUUGCGCUGUAAGUAACUUCCUGGAUUUUGAAGACU
This 3008-nucleotide long non-coding RNA is filed under the name Sus scrofa (pig). RNAcentral describes it as "lncRNA (ENSSSCG00000059458.1)". Lineage: Eukaryota; Metazoa; Chordata; Mammalia; Artiodactyla; Suidae. The record is from RNAcentral.